RNAcentral lists this long non-coding RNA (699 nucleotides) under Phoenix dactylifera (date palm). Its description in RNAcentral is "long non-coding RNA (PDAC_LNC002470)". Lineage: Eukaryota; Viridiplantae; Streptophyta; Magnoliopsida; Arecales; Arecaceae. The record is from RNAcentral.
UUGUGAGCUAAGUUAAGACAUAUUCCAAGUUAAGACCUAUUUCAAUCAACUUAUUCAAGCAUGGGGCAUUACAAAAUAUUGAGAACUCAUAAUUCAAAACAUCAUGCCACAUGCAAAAUAUAUUAUGUGUUAAGUCAUGCAUAAAAAUACUAAGAACAAGCAUGUUAAGGAUCAAAAUCAAUUUUUUUUAAAUAAACUCCCCCUAUUUAAAUAUAAUCUUGCAUUGAUUUCAUCCUUAAAGUGUGUUUUCAAGUGAUAAAAAAAAUGACUUGAUUCUUCUUAUAUACUUUCAUUUAUUUGGUCUUUCAUUUUUUUUUACUUUCUUAUGCUCUAUACUCUAUUUGCUCCCUAUCCGGUGGAGUUGGAAGGGGCACGAGGUACUACCACUAGCCUCCCUCUUGUGCCGUCCCUAAUAUACCCUACACCGAAUAGUUGGGUCAAAUAGUGCCGGGUACUACCACUAGCCUCUCCAUUGGCACCAUCCCUAUGAUGAGCAAUAUAGAAAGGUUAAAAUGUUUACUUCAAACUCUUCCUGUUUAAGUGUAAUUAAUUAUGGAUUUUAUCCCUUCCAAAAGAAUGCUCACACAAGUCUCACAAAUGUGCCGAAUAUAUUAUGCUUGUUUUGCUUUUCCUUAAGAUUGAAGUAUUUGCCUUUACUUAGAUUUUACUUCUCUUGAAUAAUAUCCAUUUUCUUUUCUU